This 456-nucleotide ribosomal RNA is filed under the name Neisseria sicca. RNAcentral describes it as "bacterial SSU rRNA". It matches the Rfam family "Bacterial small subunit ribosomal RNA", at positions 30 to 486 of the family's 1533-position model. Lineage: Bacteria; Pseudomonadati; Pseudomonadota; Betaproteobacteria; Neisseriales; Neisseriaceae. The record is from RNAcentral.
AUUGAACGCUGGCGGCAUGCUUUACACAUGCAAGUCGGACGGCAGCACAGAGAAGCUUGCUUCUUGGGUGGCGAGUGGCGAACGGGUGAGUAACAUAUCGGAACGUACCGAGCAGUGGGGGAUAACUAAUCGAAAGAUUAGCUAAUACCGCAUAUCUUCUGAGGAAGAAAGCAGGGGACCAUUUGGCCUUGCGCUGUUUGAGCGGCCGAUAUCUGAUUAGCUAGUUGGUGGGGUAAAGGCCUACCAAGGCGACGAUCAGUAGCGGGUCUGAGAGGAUGAUCCGCCACACUGGGACUGAGACACGGCCCAGACUCCUACGGGAGGCAGCAGUGGGGAAUUUUGGACAAUGGGCGCAAGCCUGAUCCAGCCAUGCCGCGUGUCUGAAGAAGGCCUUCGGGUUGUAAAGGACUUUUGUCAGGGAAGAAAAGGGCGGGGUUAAUACCCCUGUCUGAUGAC